Molecule: long non-coding RNA, 6828 nt
Filed under: Homo sapiens (human)
Lineage: Eukaryota; Metazoa; Chordata; Mammalia; Primates; Hominidae
Description: HSALNT0031554
Source: RNAcentral
AACCCUUCUACUCUCCUGGAAUAAGAGUACAAACUUAGAGAAAAUAUUACUGCUAGAAAUGAAAAAUAUAGAAAUGAUUAAUCACAUGAACCUCUUAGACUAUUGUAAAAUCUAUUAGCCUGCACUUGAGAGAAGAAAUACAGUAUAAUUUUUUUUCAGUUUCAAAAUCCAGGAUAUUGAACAAUUCUUGUAUUCCUACAAGAGAGUGAAUAGAUGAUCAAUCAGAUUAAUAACUCCUAAAGCACAACAAACACAUGAGAACCUGAUCUAAGAAAUAUUAUAUAGCCAAAAGCCAUUCACAGAAUACUAUCAUUUAUUUUUCAGAGGACGGAUCCAACAUUCAAAUGGUCUUGGGUCUGCAUCUUAGCUCGGCCACUGGAUAGCUGUACAACUACGGAGUCUUGCUCUGUUGCCCAGGCUGGAGUGCAGUGGCGCGAUCUCGACUCACUACAACUUCCGCCUCCCGGAUUCAAGCGAUUCUCCUGCCUUAGCCUCCCGAGCAGCUGGAACUACAGGCACGUGCCACCACGCCCAGCUAAUUUUUUUGUAUUUUUAGUAGAGACGGGGUUUCACCAUGUUAGCCAGGAUGGUCUCAAUUGUUCUGGAGUCUUUCUCUAAUACACUACAUACAAUCCAUAGGCAAAUUCUGUUGGCGUCACCUUCGAAAUCUACCCCAAAUCUUACUAUUUUUACAGCACUUCAACCACCAGUACCUUAUCAAAAACCACUUCUAUAUUUCUUGUAAAUUAUUGGAACAGCCCUUUACCUGGUCUUCCUGUUUCUGCCUUUUGCAUCCCUUCUUCCUUCCUCUCCUCCACACAUACCACUAAAAUCGCAGCAUUGCAACUACAGUAAUAAAUACAUCACUUCUCUGCACAAAAGCUUCUGGUGGCUUCCCCCCUCACUCAGGAAGUCUUUAUAGUACUCCAGAAGAUCACUUUCUGGCCUUCCCUGUUGGGCUCAUUUUCUAUUUCUACCUUGCCCACUCUGUUGCAGCCACACUGUCCUCCCUGCUGAUUCGUGAACACACUGACCAUGCUCUUGCUUCAAGAACACUUACAUUGCUGUUCCCUCUGCCAGGACAGUUCCUCUAGUAUCCACUCACCUCAUUCAGUUUCUGCACAAAUGUCACUUUUACAAUAAAGUCAUCCCUAAAGAACUAAUUUAAAAUUGUACCCUACUAAAUAGAAAUCCCCUUACCUCACUUAGAACACUCUAAAAGUGCUCUAAAGGACUAAAUUAGCAAUUUAGCCCUUUAGUACCCCACUGAUUAGCAAUCCCCUUACCCCACUUAGAGAGUGCUCUACUAGUACUUUAGGUAGUACCAUCUAAACAGUGAUGCCACUGUCAGACUAAAAAUCACCAUCAUAGGUAGAUACAUUAAUUUAAAUCAGAUAAACGUAAUCAUCUAAUUUGAACAUUAUAUUUCAUCUACAAUAUCCACUUAUUCAACAGGUAUUUAUUGACCAUGCUGUACAAUUUUCUAGGUGCAGAAGAUACAUCACUUAACAAAGAAGAUCACUACACUUGGUUACUUGGAGUUUAUAUUUGAAUUGGUAAAAUAUAUGGCAGAAACUGAAAGUGCUGAGAAGGACCAAAUUAGUAAUGAGUAAUUUAGCCCUUUAGUGCCCUACUGAUUAGCAAUCCUCUUACCCCACUUAUAGAGUGCUCUUCUAGUACUUUAGAUAGCAGCAUCUAAACAGUAGCAUCUAAACCCCUUGGGAUUGCUAAUUACCCUACUUUAGGAGGUAAUUACAUGAGGAUGGUGAAGCCUUUAUGGAAGGAAUUAGGGUCCUUAUAAAAGCACUUGAGGCAGUGGGUCCACUCUCUUUUGCUCUUCCACCAUGUGAGGACACAGCAUUCAAAGCACCACCUUGGAAGCAGAGAUAAGGCUCUCACCAGACACCAAACCUGCCUGCCCCUUGAUUUUGGACAUCCAGCCUUCAGAACUGUGAGAAGUACAUUUCUAUUAUUUAUGAAUUACCCAGUCUGGUAUUUUAUUAUAGCAGCAUAAAGAGACUGUGAUAGAAGGUAUGAAUUUUUGUUCUAAACGAGGACUGGGGGUGGUAGGAACUUGAAAACAACGCUAAUAUAACAAAUCAAUUAGAUUGCUUCUAGCUAUUUUAUUUUUCUUUCAUUAAUUAGUAAUUCCAAUCCAGUUCUGGGUGUGAAGUUCUACAGGUAAAACAUGUUCCUUUUAGAUAUUUUCCUCUGAAAAGAAUUGGGGAAAUAUUGCAAAGGAAAAGGAAAAGGGAAAGGAGUGAUUCUGACAUUUAUGAAUUUGUGAUAUUAUGUACUGAAAUUAUGACCUGAUUGUAUAUUUCUCCCUAGUCUGCAUAUAGGGAGGUUAUUCAGGUAAACUACUACUGUUGCUUACUGAAUUAUUCCAGUGUCACUUCUCCCUACAACACACGUGGCAUCAUAAUAACAUGAUGGUGUCACUCUGCCAUCUCGAAUAAGUAAUCAAAGAAAUCAGGAAGUGAGUUAUAAUGAGACUGUUGCCAAAGUAUGGAAUUUCUUACGAGUAAUAUGUUUUUUGUUUGUUUGUUUAAAUUUGAUUUGGGGGGAAAAUUAUGUAUUCUGCAUUGAUAAGUUAAACAAAUUAUGUUUUUUAUCCCAUUAUAAUAAAUAUUAACAUUUAUUAUCUUAAAGAUUAAUUGUUUUUUUAUAAGAUAAAAUAACAAUUGUAACUCAAAUAAUUUAGUUUUAAGUAUCUAAGCUUUUUAUUAACGUAGAAGAAUCAGAGAUAAAUAGAUAAGGAAAGGGGAUUGUCCCCGGGAUUUUUUUUCUUUUGUGAUCUUGGCUCACUGCAACCUCUGCCUCCUGGGUUCAAGUGAUUCUCCUGCCUAAGCCUCCUGAGUAGCUGGGAUUACAGGCUUCUGCCACCACACCUGGCACAUUUUUGUAUUUUUAGUAGAGACGGAGUUUCACCACGUUGGCCCAGCUGGUCUCCAACUCCUGAUCUCAUGAUCUGCCUGCCUCGGCCUCCUAAAGUGCUGGGAUUACAGGCGUGAGCCAUCGCACCCAGCCAGGAAUAUAUAUAUAUAUAUAUAUAUAUUUUUUUUUUUUAGAAAAAUAGAGAAUACCUAUCACACAGGAUAGGAUUAUCAUAAGAAGGCAAAGAGGUAACAUUUGAAAAAAAUUUUGUAAAUGUAUUAUUACUAUACUGUGAAUGUUUGAUAGAAAAAGAAAGAACAAAUGAAAGAAACUAUUACUAGAAUAAUAGUUGUUCCUUAUCUACACCAUCCAGAAAGUUUCUGUAACACAGUGAAAACUUCAGUGUCAUUUUAGUUAUUAAAUCAUGGAGACAAUUCGAAACCACACCAAACAUACUCAUUUAAAUAUCUUACGAUCUCUUGGUUUUAAAAGUUUGUAAGAUAACUCAAAUUAGCCAAUUUUAAGUUUAAAUUAAAAUAAUAUAUAUAAUUGUUUUAAUCUAAUAUAAUUUCUACAAUUUUAGGAAGUACAGUAAAAUCCAUGGAAUUGGAUGUGAAGUUUAUUAGUAUAUUUUAAAGGAAAAUCUGCAGGGCAGAAAAACACACAAAGACUAGUUAAUCCUUUGUAAACUUCUAUUGCCACUUCUGAAAUAUAAAUUAAAUUUUUAAAAAAUUUUGUUUAGAAAGUGUCAAAAAUUGUUAAUAAGAAAAGUCACUAAUAGGAUUGGAACAUGUUACUUAUGUUAAUAGUGCAUACUUUAAUGCUUAACAUCAGGUUGCUAUAAUUUAAAUGUGUUCCUCAAAGUUCAUGUGUGGAAAACUUAAUCCCCAAUGCAACAGCGUUGGGAGGAGAAUCCCAAUAAGGGGUGAUUAGGUCAUAAGGGCUUUGCCCUUAGGAAUGCAUUAAUGUUGUCAUUGCUAGAGUGGGUUAAUUAUCUUGAGGGUAGGCUUGUUAAAAGGAAGUUAAAACCCCUCUUUAUCUCUUGCUUUCCCAAAUUCUCUCUAGCCCUUCCACCUUCUGCCAUGGGAUGGCACAGCAAGAAGGCCCUCAUCAGAUACAGGCCCUUCAGCCUUGGUUUUCCAGUCAUUAGAACUUGUGAAUCUUUUUGUGUUCCUUUCCAAGUUUGGAAGCAGAAGAGAGACAACGGAGUAGGCAGAUGGAGAAACAAAUAUUGACUUUAUUACUAAAUAAAUCUGGUAUUGGAAUAGGAUUCCUAAAGCUGAGUCCCAAAAUGAGACUGAUUUGCUGUUCUAACAGAAACCAGAAGAUUCAGUGAGAAGCGUCAGAAGCAUCUCCCUAACAUGAGAAAUGAAACUUUUGAAAACAUCACCAAAGUUGUUCCUGUCUUGUACUACAGGGCUCUCUCUACUGACUGGAGAUCUCAGGAGAAAUCAUGACUCCUUUCGCCUCACCUGGCUGAACCACCUGGAUGUCUUUCCAUCAUUCUCUGUCUAUUAUUACCCUAUAGAAUGACCUUCUUUCUUAUAUGUGUUCAGGAAGGGCAAAAAAAAAAAUCUCCUAGAUGUAUUUCUCUCUUUUUAAAAACUGUAAGUACUCAGAACAAUACCAAGAAAAAUACAAAAGCAAAGCUUUUUAUAGCUAAUUAGAAACUUCCUUGCAAUUCUGAAGUGUAUGUGAUAUUGUGUAUUGUUACAAUAAUACACAAUAUUAUUAAAGUAUAUGUGAUAUUAUGUAUUGUUUACCCUGUGGUGCUAUAUAUGAAUUUGUGUAUGAAGCUAUUCUUUACAUUUUAAUGAAAUGUCAUCAAUAUAUAGAGAAAAUAAUUUUCCUAGGUAUCACUGGAGAUUCAAAAUUUACCUCAUAUGAAUACAUUAUUUUAGGGGACAAUAUUUAUGCAGCCAGAUAGAGAAUAAAUUGGCUAGAAAGAUUGGGAUGAGCAGGCAUUAAACAUCACAUUCAGCUCUUAGUGCCCGAAUUUCAGACUAUUUUCAGGGACGGCAUUACUAAAGGACUAUUGCAGAAGAAUAAGAGACUAUACCAGAAAUGGAAAAGAAAGCUGGCUUUUUUUUUUCCCCGGCAUAAGUUUUAUCCUACCUAUAACGUGAUUAAGCAUCAAUGUUACCUAAGGAGUUGUUGAUACAGUACUUAUGUUGAAGCCUCAUUCCUGACCUAGUAAAUGAUUUUUUUCCCUGCAAGUGGGAGUAUUCAGACGGAGAAAUUAUGGAGUCUUGCCUGUUUAGGUUUGAAGAUUUUAACUUGUGUGCUCAGUCUCAAAACAUAUAGAAACUAUUGAAACACUUCUCGUAUUCCCUAAUCCAAAGUCAACUUCCUGCCUGGUUUUCUAUAACUACAUCCAAACCUUCUUAACCCUGAGUAAACUCAUUGUAUUCACAUGUAGAUAUUUUUCUCUCAUAUUUUUAAGAGUCAUCAGUUAAUACCACCAUUGUUUUAUUUAAAAGUGAGACUCCCACUAUGUUCUUUAUGAGUAGUUCAUACUCUUGAUUUAAUCCCCAAAUCCUCUGGCAUCUUUCCCUGCAAUCUGAAGUUGGAGAAAACUAUAGUUACUGAGUCACAUUAAAGCUAUGACAGUUCACAUUUGAUUUUCACCUCAUUUUACAGAUGCACAGCCUGAGAACUAUCUAGUAAUUCUGAAUCCAUUGCAUCUUCUAUGGGCAAUUCAAAAUACUCUGACUUGGGCAUAGUUAGUGAAUCAUGUUUGGACAUUUGGGAGGAACACCACAUAUCAUUCAGCAAGAUCCAUUUGAAGUUUCCUUUUAGGUGUUAAUGACUUGGAGUUGUAAUUUUACCAGCCACUGUCUUCAGCCCAAUGUUGGGAGAUGAAGUGCGUGUUUUAUGAAACAAAUUAUGAUUUUUUAUUUCUUAAAAAGUUAUACUUCUUUGCCUGUCUUUUAUCAUUCCCCUGAAAAUAAUUAUGAAGUUCUCUUUUGUAGAAUUUUUCAGGAUGUUGCUUUGAAAUUAGAAAAUGCUAUCACACCUUGAAGAUUCUACACAGACUAUGCAUACAAAUACAUUAUUUGCUGUUGUGUGUCUACCCUGAAAUGUCGGUUUUGAUCACACUAAGUUUUUCUUAGCCUGACCUAUGUAAAUCAAAAACAAUAUAAUUCUCUCUCAACCCUCAGAAAAUACGUGCAUGAGUAUCUCUAGAUAAUUUGGAUAAUCAAAGUACUGACUAAUGGUGGAAAGUACAAAAAACAUGAUUAUGAAGAAUGCAUCAAUUUGACUAUUCCUUUGCUUAUCAUGCUUCUGCAAAUUUACAGUAUCUAUGGUUCUUGUUUCUCUUUUACCAAGACAGUUACCAGCAUUUAAUAAAGUAAGUCUCAUGCUGAGAGAACUUCGUGUGUGUGUGAGUGUGUGUGUGUGUGUGUGACAAAGUGAUGAUCUGCAAAAUCCCUAUGACACUUGGCACUGAGGAUGCUGUCCAUAUGUUUCUGUUUUGUUUGCUAAAGUCUCUUUGUGCAAACCUGAGGACAUCUUUCCUAAAUAUACUCCCUUGUGAUUUCCUGUUACCAAGAAAUUCUGAAAUCACAAGGAAUUCAACAUAGCCUUCUCAUGAAGCUAAAUAUAUCUUACAAUUUUGAGAUUCUUUGUGAAUCCACUCAACAGUGAACUUAUUCUUCAUUUGCUGAAGGCUGAAUGGUCUCUCUGGAAGUCAGAACAGGAGCAGUGGUGCACAAAUCUCUGCUCUGUUAUUCCUUUUAUUUUACCUUCUAUGAAGGCAGCAUUCUCACUGACAUACUUAAAAUGCCAAAUCAAAAGUGUUUCCUCUUUUGUCUUUCUUUGGUCACAUAAAAAUACAUUUUAAAUUAAAAGAUAGCAUUUCAAGAUCCUUUUUUGUGAUGUGGUUAAUGUAUGUAUAUGAAAUCUUUAAAAUACACUGAAAUAAAGGAAAAUUUGUUUUCUUCUCUUUUA